RNAcentral lists this unclassified non-coding RNA (402 nucleotides) under uncultured Cortinarius. Its description in RNAcentral is "sequence contains ITS2". The stretch from base 1 to 154 matches the Rfam family "5.8S ribosomal RNA". Lineage: Eukaryota; Fungi; Basidiomycota; Agaricomycetes; Agaricales; Cortinariaceae. The record is from RNAcentral.
AACUUUCAGCAACGGAUCUCUUGGCUCUCGCAUCGAUGAAGAACGCAGCGAAAUGCGAUAAGUAAUGUGAAUUGCAGAAUUGAGUGAAUCAUCGAAUCUUUGAACGCACCUUGCGCUCCUUGGUAUUCCGAGGAGCAUGCCUGUUUGAGUGACAUUAAUAUAUCAACCUUCUCUUUUUGAGUGGUUUGGAUGUGGGGGUUUGCUGGCCUCUUAAAAAGGUCUUGGCUCUCCUGAAAUACAUUAGCAGAACAACCCUGUUCAUUGGUGUGAUAAACUAUCUACGCUAUUGAAUGUGAAGGGCAGUUUGGCUUUCUAACAGUCCUUGGACAAGCUCAUCAUUAAUGUGACCUCAAAUCAGGUAGGACUACCCGCUGAACUUAAGCAUAUCAAUAAGCGGAGGCU